Molecule: ribosomal RNA, 96 nt
Filed under: Vibrio parahaemolyticus
Lineage: Bacteria; Pseudomonadati; Pseudomonadota; Gammaproteobacteria; Vibrionales; Vibrionaceae
Description: partial 16S ribosomal RNA
Rfam family: Bacterial small subunit ribosomal RNA
Source: RNAcentral
GGGGCGCUUACCACUUUGUGGUUCAUGACUGGGGUGAAGUCGUAACAAGGUAGCGCUAGGGGAACCUGGCGCUGGAUCACCUCCUUAAACGAUGAU